GACGUAGGGCGCGAGCGUUGUCCGGAUUUAUUGGGCGUAAAGAGCUCGUAGGCGGCUUGUCGCGUCGACUGUGAAAAACCCGUGGCUCAACCAUGUGGUCUGCAGUCGAUACGGGCAGGCUAGAAUUCGGUAGGGGAGACUGGAAUUCCUGGUGUAGCGGUGAAAUGCGCAGAUAUCAGGAGGAACACCGGUGGCGAAGGCGGGUCUCUGGGCAACAACUGACGCUGAGGAGCGAAAGCGUGGGGAGCGAACAGG
This 255-nucleotide ribosomal RNA is filed under the name uncultured bacterium. RNAcentral's name for it is "partial 16S ribosomal RNA". It matches the Rfam family "Bacterial small subunit ribosomal RNA", at positions 524 to 776 of the family's 1533-position model. The record is from RNAcentral.